GGGGCUGACUUGGAUUUCGACAGAUUUCUUGUCGCACAGAUAGCAUGCCAAGCGCUGCUUGUAAAACAGCAACAAAAAUAACUGUAAACAACGCAGAUUACGCUCCAGCUUACGCUAAAGCUGCGUGAGUUAAUCUCCUUUUGGAGCUGGACUGAUUGAAAUUUCUAGCGUUUUAAUCACUCCAUAACCUUAAGCUAGACGCUUUUAAAAGGUGGUUCGCCUUUUAAACUAAGAAACAAGAACUCUUGAAACUACCUCAAGGUUUUAGAAAGUUGGACCAGAGCUAGUUUUAAGGCUAAAAAACUAACCAAUUUUCUAAGCAUUGUAGAAGUUUGUGUUUAGGACAAGAUUUUUGGACUGGGGUUCGAUUCCCCACAGCUCCACCA
RNAcentral lists this transfer-messenger RNA (386 nucleotides) under Helicobacter pylori. It matches the Rfam family "transfer-messenger RNA". From Rfam's summary of the family: Bacterial tmRNA, also known as 10Sa RNA or SsrA, is named for its dual tRNA and mRNA-like properties. Its role is to liberate the mRNA from a stalled ribosome. To accomplish this part of the tmRNA is used as a reading frame that ends in a translation stop signal. The record is from RNAcentral. RNAcentral also lists the same sequence under 1 other name. Lineage: Bacteria; Pseudomonadati; Campylobacterota; Epsilonproteobacteria; Campylobacterales; Helicobacteraceae.